UGGCGGCUUUAGCUUUUCGGGGCUUCUAAAACGGUUGCGUUAGUCAAGCCCGUAAACUCGAUUUACGCAGCAAAGCACGGCUCCUGAAGCAAUAGGCUGUUCGGCUUUGAUCCCGCCCAGAACCCUUGAGUUUUGUUCUGCAAGGAUAUAUAAUACCGGUUUUAUCUGCCCACCUAAGAAUAAAAGGUAAUGGAGACUGAACAACAGGAGGAGACCUUUACCAACACAGAGACAAAUGGCAAACGUCCUGCAGAAGAUAUGGAAGAAGAGCAGGCCUUCAAAAGAUCUCGGAAUACAGAUGAGAUGGUUGAAUUACGCAUCCUGCUUCAGAGCAAAAAUGCUGGAGCAGUGAUUGGAAAAGGUGGAAAAAAUAUUAAGGCACUUCGUACAGACGUGAGUAUAUAUGAGUUUGAACUAAUUUAACACCAAUUCUUUCAGAGCGCUACGUUGAAAACUUGAUUGCGUGCAUUUCUAGAAAUUGAGGAAUUCAACUCUAGACAUCAGUAGUCUAGUUACAAGCCAUUCGUAAUAAUUGUUAGAGUAGAUAACUUCGUUUUUCAGUUUGUAUUGUAGUUUAAACCCAGCUUGAGUCAUGUGAGAGGAGAGGCUUGUAUUAAACCUCUUUCCUUUCUAAAAGGAAUCCACUAAAUUACACACUUCAAGUGAGUUAACAUCUUAAUUAGAAAUAUUGACAAAGCUUGAAACCCUUAAUUAUACCAUUUCCCAUAUGUGUGAAUCAGUUGUAGUACUGCUGAAACCAUUGCAGGUGGCUGGCUUAAACCAGUGAUAGAGGAAUUCUUUAACUUCCUUUAAAAAAAACAAACAAACAAAACUGUCCAUCUGUUCUUUCUUCAGCAGCUUGCACGUGAAGAACAAAAACAUUAACGUUAAGGUUGCAUGAUUUAGAUAUGAGUAUAGAACAGUAAAGAAACAUUCUGUUAUGUUAAUUGGAAGCAUUUUUAAAUGAUCAUGAUUUAUUUACCUAUUCACAUUUUAUAGUGGGUUGACUCUUGUGAUUAGACACAUGUUCAGCGUUAAUGUUAUGUAUUUAUAAAACUUGGCAACGCUUCUUAAAUUCCAUUUGUUUACACUCCUGUACUUAACAUCAGCUACAAUUCCAGCAAUUUUUCAAGCAAGACUGUGUUCAACACAAUAUUUGGUAAUAUAUCAUUGCACAAUCAGUUCCAACUAAGUUCAU
Molecule: non-coding RNA, 1198 nt
Organism: Struthio camelus australis
Lineage: Eukaryota; Metazoa; Chordata; Aves; Struthioniformes; Struthionidae
Source: RefSeq, a predicted model, not a curated record